Molecule: ribosomal RNA, 465 nt
Filed under: uncultured bacterium
Lineage: Bacteria
Description: partial 16S ribosomal RNA
Rfam family: Bacterial small subunit ribosomal RNA
Source: RNAcentral
GACGAACGCUGGCGGCGUGCUUAACACAUGCAAGUCGAACGGAAAGGCCCUGCUUGCAGGGUACUCGAGUGGCGAACGGGUGAGUAACACGUGGGUGAUCUGCCCUGCACUUCGGGAUAAGCCUGGGAAACUGGGUCUAAUACCGGAUAGGAGCCAUUUUUAGUGCGAUGGUUGGAAAGUUUUUUCGGUGUAGGAUGAGCUCGCGGCCUAUCAGCUUGUUGGUGGGGUAAUGGCCUACCAAGGCGGCGACGGGUAGCCGGCCUGAGAGGGUGGACGGCCACAUUGGGACUGAGAUACGGCCCAGACUCCUACGGGAGGCAGCAGUGGGGAAUAUUGCACAAUGGGCGCAAGCCUGAUGCAGCGACGCCGCGUGGGGGAUGGCGGCCUUCGGGUUGUAAACUCCUUUCGCUAGGGACGAAGCUUUUUGUGACGGUACCUAGAUAAGAAGCACCGGCUAACUACGUG